UACGGAGGGGGCAAGCGUUGUCCGGAUUUACUGGGCGUAAAGAGCGCGUAGGUGGUUCAUUAAGUCGGCUGUGAAAGCGCUGGGCUCAACCCAGCAACUGCAGUUGAUACUGGUGGACUCGAGUCCGGGAGAGGGAAGCGGAAUUGCUGGUGUAGCGGUGGAAUGCGUAGAUAUCAGCAAGAACACCGGUGGCGAAGGCGGCUUCCUGGACCGGUACUGACGCUGAGGCGCGAAAGCUAGGGGAGCGAACGGG
This 253-nucleotide ribosomal RNA is filed under the name uncultured bacterium. RNAcentral describes it as "partial 16S ribosomal RNA". It matches the Rfam family "Bacterial small subunit ribosomal RNA", at positions 524 to 776 of the family's 1533-position model. The record is from RNAcentral.